UACAGAGGGGGCAAGCGUUAAUCGGAAUUACUGGGCGUAAAGCGCACGUAGGCGGCUUUGUAAGUUAGAGGUGAAAGCCCGGGGCUCAACUCUGGAACUGCCUUUGAUACUGGAUGUCUUGAGUGUGAGAGAGGUAUGUGGAACUCCGAGUGUAGAGGUGAAAUUCGUAGAUAUUCGGAAGAACACCAGUGGCGAAGGCGACUGACUGGACAUGUAUUGACGCUGAGGUGCGAAAGCGUGGGGAGCAAACAGG
RNAcentral lists this ribosomal RNA (253 nucleotides) under uncultured bacterium. RNAcentral's name for it is "partial 16S ribosomal RNA". It matches the Rfam family "Bacterial small subunit ribosomal RNA", at positions 524 to 776 of the family's 1533-position model. The record is from RNAcentral.